UGGUUCAAGGCUUCAGUUCAAUGUGAC
Molecule: non-coding RNA, 27 nt
Filed under: Mus musculus (house mouse)
Lineage: Eukaryota; Metazoa; Chordata; Mammalia; Rodentia; Muridae
Source: RNAcentral